UGGGUGGGUGGGUGUGCCUCGAGGGUCUCCGCUUCGGGCCUGGUGCCCCUGCCCGGCCCGUGACCAGUGCCAGCGGCCCGUGACCAAUGCCAGCGGGAGGCCCAGGGAAACAACUUCCAGGUGGUGACUCCUGGGCCCGGCAGCGUGGCCGGCCACCACGGCCCCCAGCCUCGGCGGUGCCACGAGGGACAGGCGUGUCCUGCAGUCAGUGUCCAGCUGCCGGGGGAGGGGUGAGUGAGACCGGCUGGGGCAGGACCAGCGGGGGGACCCGAGUGGCAGAAAUCCCCUGCCUUGGCCCGCUGGAGAGAGGCGGGGGCCGCGCUCGUCUCCCCCAUGGGAGGCCAGCCGGUGUCUGAUAUUGCAAACAGGACUCGGCUCCCUGGGGUUGCGGGGAGCUGACCUUCGUUGACCUACUAAGUGCUAGGCCCAGGGCUGAGUACUUCUUUUUGUUUUAAUUUUUUCUUUAUUUUUUUGGCCACACCACGUGGCAUGCAGUAUCUUAGUUCCCCGACCAGGGAUCGAAUCUGCGCCCCCUGCAGUGGAAGCGCGGAGUCCCAACCACUGGACCGCCAGGGAGGUCCUCAGGGCCGGGUACUGUAAUCAUCUCUUUUUAAACAUCCAUUUUUAAAUUUAAUCUGCCCAAUUCCAUUUUGUUUCAACAUCCACUCAGAGCCAGCACGUGCCAGCGCUGUUCUGGUGGCGGAAUAGGGCACAGACAAGACUCCCGUGUGGAAGGCGGGUGUGAACGGUUCUCUCUCUGAGAAAACCAAGGCUCAGAGAGGCCAAGGAAUGUCGCCAGCGUCACACAGCUAGCGGGUGACAGAGCCUGCACCCAAACCCAGGUCCGUGACUGCAAGACCCACACUCUCCCUGCCCCGGCCAGGGAACAGCGCGCACAGGAUCCCUCUCACAAAUGCUGACCUCGGCGCGUUCUCCCCACAAAGCCAUCACCAGGAGCACCUGCCCUCUGGCGUGGAGUUCUGCCCCAAGGGAGAGCCAGGAUUUGCCUCCGUCCCUCCCCUCCUGAGGAGCCAUAGACUGUGGUGGUUCUGGGGGCCCCCAGGACCCGUCUCUGCCUGGGUUGCUGUUUCUCUAGGGUCUCAGGCCUGCCGGUUGGGCUGACGAAGCCCCCUAGCGCCCUCCAGGCCUCUGUGCUCAGAGUGCUGGCCGGGCGUGGACAGCACGCAGUGUGGCAGCAGGCGAUGGGAAGGAGGGAGCCGCGGGUCAUCCUUCCUCUCAGUGUUCCUAUGGCCCAGGGUGGGAAAGCGUACGAGGUUGUAGGCCCAGGUGACGUCGGAAGCUCUACAGAGGGUUUAACACUCAGACACCAGGAGUCAAACCUUCGGGAGAUGCUGUAGAAACCCGAAACAGGCAAGACCAUUUUGCAGGCUUGAGCAUUCUCAAAACGGUCCUUUCUGCUCUGUGCCAAAUCCAGACCCUUCCGUUGUACGGGGAGCCUGCUGUGUAGACCAGGAACCCAGGGGUUUUCUCAGGUUUUUCUCCUGGGGGCUUGUUGCAGGCACCAUUCAGCGUCUGAAGGACCCUGACCUCUCUCCCGUGGAGACACACUCAACUUAUCUUGGGGUCCGUGGACUGGCCGGGAGUUGGGUGUCAUCGGCACCUGGUGAGGUCUGCUCCAUGGCCGCGUCCCAGGGUGAGGGGGCUCCCACAGGUAAGGGCAGAACAGGGGUGUCGGGGUGCCGUGUGCAGGGCAGGAUAAGCUCUUGUGAAAGCAGCUUUCUGCCGGUGAACAGGCGCCCCAUCAUGUGUUAGAGACCCCGCCGUCGGUCCCCGUCUGCCCGGCCCCCUGUGUGGUACUCUGUCCCUGAUCCUGCAGCUUCCUUGCAUUACCAUGUGGGUGGCCCAGCGCCCACGUGAUUCUCCAGGGCACCCCUCAGAGAGGUUAGGGAGCCAGCUCUGGGCGGCCCCGGCUUGGGGUGCGGGAGGGGACUGGCGGCACUGUCCAGGGACCAGAGGGGGCAGACCUUGUGGGGCGCCGGGCCCCCAGCUGGAGGGCUAGAGCCGUGAGGGCUAGGGUCUGUCCCCAGCUCCCAGGCAGGGAGGCCAUCACUCGGCAAACAUGGGCGCCCUCCAGGAGGCCCAGGCCCAGGCCGAGAUGGUGCGGGUGGGGAACAGACAGUUAGUCUGGAGCGGCCAGUGCGAGUGCCCGAGGAAUCCGGGAGGCCCCCUGGAGGUGGCAGACCCGCGGCCCCAGGCUUGUUAGCGAAUCCAGCCCCGGGCCUGCCACGUCCCAGGGCCGUGCUGCCAGGCGCCGCCCCUCCCACCGCCCCACGCCAGCCCUGCACAGGCCACAUCUGCUGCCGCAGCCCUGCCAGGGCUCCGCCUCCAUCCCCAUGGAAACCACGGGGGCUGGGGGUCCUGCUGCAUUUGGCCCGCUGACUGGUUUCCAUUAGAGGCAGCCUGCUUUCCUUGAGACUUGCCCCUGAAGUUCAGGGCUCCUCCCAGGGGUUUCUUCCUGCGUUUACUGAGCGCCGGCCUCUCCUGUGCCAGGGCACCCAGUGGUCUAGGCCUGCCCAUCCUGGCUGACAUCCCUCAGUGGGGUGAGUGCCCAGAGUCCCACCCAGGGCCGUGGCUGCUCUUGAUCUUAACAGGCUGCAGGCUCAGACCUCGUCUCUCCUCACCCAGGACCACUGGCUGCUGAGGCACGGACGCUGCACCUGAGUCAGGGGCCCCGGUCUCCCGUCCCAGCUGUGCCAUAGAGUCACUAGGGGACCUUGAAUGGGCCCCUCCCCCUCUCCGGGCCUCAGUUUACCCCUCUGUAAAAUGAGAGGGUUGAAGUGUUUCUCCAGUUCCUUGCAACGCCACAAAAGGAGAAAGAAAGUGAAGCUGCAGCAACGCCAGCUCUUCUAGAGUCUCAGUUCUGGGAUUUUUGUUUUCAAAGACGGAUUUUUUUUUUUUUCUUAAAGGAAGGAGCCAUGGAAUUUGACCGGAGAUCAAAUUUGAGAGGCCAACAGCCAGCCAGAUCCCGCGGACCCACGGUGGGGAAGGCCGGGCUCGGCUGUGGGCGGCUGUGCCUGCCAGGCUCCGCUUGACAUGUCGGGUGCCCAGUGACCUGGCUGUGAAUGCAGUGAGCAGAGGCAUGCACCGUGCCCCCGACGGAAUCCAGAGGGCUCUGGAAAACUACCCGAGAGGUUUCCGGAGGUCAGAAAUGUGGGCAGAAAAUGAGAUCCAGCUUUUAAAAAAAAACAAAAAAACCCAGUUGGCUCAUCCUCCAGGGAGAUCGGGGGCCUGUGAGAGACAUGGGGGAACGCCGAUGCUCGGUUAUCUUUGAAGAGCUCGCCCAGGGCUGAUCCGUGGCAGGUGCCGCAGACCCAGCCCGACGCCCUGGUGGAGGUGCCGUCUUCCCCCACUCCUCCUUUCACGGGAGAUGACGGGUGACGCUAGGGGACAUUUUUGCCCAACCUGCCCAGUGGGUGCUUUGGCUCCUCCCAUGAGAACCCUCAGCUCCCACUUGCUUAUCGUGAAAUGUCACAGAUAUCGUGGGGGCUGGCUUCUGCUUGGUCCCUGCCACUGCUGUACUGGGGACACUUUGCAGCUUAUGACAAGGAGCAGAAGCUCAGGGGCGACAGGCCUUCAUAGCAGCAGGGAGUGGUUUGCUGGGUGGUUUGGGCAGAUUGCUUUCCUCCCUGGGCCUCCGUUUCCUCAGCUGUAAAACGGGGGUAGUGACACUGACCUGCCGGGUUAGUGUGGAAAUUAGGUGAGACUUGGGGUCAAGGCUGGAGACGUGGUAAGUGAUGGCGUCAGACUGUGCCCACCCCACAUCCCCAUCGUGAGUGAAGCAGGCAGCGCAUCCCAGGGUGCCGCAGACCCACGGCGGGGCUGACCCUCACCCGGCCCGUCUCCAGGGAAAUUGGGGACAGGCUGCCAUUUCUCAAGGUCACCUGGAACCCGCUGCUGGAAGGCCCUGGGUAGCCAGCACGAUGGAUGGUGCUUCCUCUUCCUCAUCUGAGCCCAGGGAGCACAAGCCUCCCUGCCGGAGGCCGCCUGGGUUUGCUGGCAGGUUGUGGUGGCAGGAGAAGCGGCCGACGGGCCCUGGGGACAUUGUCAUUGCAGCUCAAAGGGUAGGCUGGUAGCAUCUUCCGUUUUCUGUCCUGGGCAGGAAUGGAACUUUGGUCUGAAUGACGGCGCCCCGGGAGCCACUGCCUCAGUGCACCCCAGCCCGGCCUCCCCAGUAAAGUAGGCCGAGGGUGUGAGCUCGGAGCAGCAGCCUGCUGCACUGGCUGACGUUGAUUUAGACACGGGGAGACUGGGAUAAUGUAGGAAAUGAUGGAAGUUUCUCCAGGGAAAGAAGGAAGAGAAGCUUAAGUGCCCAGAUAAUUAUAAAGCCUGGCGUGGUGAUUUAUGGCGGGCAGGCGGGCUCCCCUGGCCGGCAGCACUGCCCCCUCCCGUCUCAGCCCCUUGUGCCCAGAGACCAGCAGGUGCCAUCCAGCACCCAAGUUUGGCCGUGUGUCGCAGGGAUGGAGCCCCUUGGUGUGCUGGGCCCCGACGUCGGCUAUCGGGGUGAUGUCAUGGAACUCUGACGUGCCCCCGACCUGGAAAGCUGAGGUCUGGGAGGCUGAGCCCCUCACGCAGCUCUAAAUGGUGGCGCCCGAGCCAGGCUAGCCAGUGUCCUAAACCCCAGAACCUUCCCUCUGCCCACAGCUGCAUUUGGGGCCUCGGGCGGGCAGGGCCUGGGAGGCGGCCCAUUAGAAAGGUGACAGGUCAGAGCAGGGUGGCAGCUAUCACUGCUGGUGCCACAGGAGGGGGACAGCCAAGACCACAGAGUUGGGCAGAAGUAAGAAGGUGUGUUUUCUGGCUUGGAUCUGGGGCUGCCCUGUAACUAGACGUGAGACUCCAGGCAGGCUGCCUGGACAGUGCACCAUUUGGGGCCUGACCUUGGGUGGCUUCCGCUGGGGACUUUCCUCUGCUGUGACCACACCCAUCCCCCCCCUAAAAUUCCCGGGGGAUGUCCCCAACAGCUUCUGACCUGCCCAAUCAUCCUCGACUCCCCUCCCUGCCACACCCAGACCGUCCCGAGUCCUUCCAGUUCUGCUGUCUUUCAGCAUCUCGCCGACGCCCUCCUCCACCCGUUGGACGGUGCCCGUUGUCUUGCCCACCCAGGAAUGUGCCCCGUCUCCCAUCCUGCAGGCUCCCCUCCAGCUCCUGGCUGCAGUCCAGCCUCCCCUUCAUGGGACUCGAGAGGCCCCCAGCAACCUGCCCUCCCCCUUCCACGGCACCAUCCCCCGCCUCUUCAGACUGUGACGCAGCAUCACCUCCUCCUGGAAGCCCUCCCUGCUCUCCACAUGCCCACUGCCCUACAGACCCGUUGCCCUGGGAGACUGGGCGCCUUGAGAAGGACAGGCCAAAAGUACCAGCCCGGCACAGGGCAGGCUCUUGGGGAACAUUUCAUGAAUGAACAAAACAGAAUCCAGAGAUUGAAACAGAAGAAGAGGAGGCUGUGCACCAACUCCCUGAGUUCCGGGCCGCACGUAAGCCAUCAAGUGCGCCACUGCGGCCAGGGGGUCAAGGCGCUUGGAGAAACAAGCGGACAGAGUUUACUUUUCUGCCUUCACCAGAUACAUUCCCUUUUAGGUCAAAUCCGGGGCUUGUGAAACCACACCUUGUCACAAAUGGGUAUGAUGGCGCCGGAUGGACAGGCCCAAGCUCUGCACCCUUGUGGCCGGGAGGGUGGACUGCGGGGGUAACGCGGGGCCAAGGGGAACCACGCUUCUUCCUGGGGGUUCCAGCUGGGAAGACCAGCUGGUAGCGGUGCCCAUGGGGCUUGUGGGCCUCUUCCCCAAAGAUCACUGGGUGUGAAAGGCAGGGGUCCGUCGGCCCAUCAGAUGUCAUCGGUGCGUCUCGGCACAUUCUGUUCCGUUAGAGUAGAUAUUUCCAACUCACAGAUAUUCUGCCGGGUCCUGCCCCUACGUUGUCACAGCUCACAGGGGUCCCCUUCCUCCAGGGGGUGAUGACAAAGUGUGGGGCCCUCUCACCUCCCCGCCCCCGGCAGUGGCUGGUUUCUUCCAGGUCAGCCCUGGGCCUGCAGCCCCUGGGUGGGACCCGCUGCAGCCCUCGUCUUCCCGUCGGUCACCCCCACGGUUUGGUGGUAAACAAGCGUGUUGGUGCCCAGCACCCUCCCAGGGGCCUGGCACCUUUGUCCCGCUAUGGAGGGUCGGGAGCAACAUCCGUUCAGCCCUUUUAAAAGUGUACCUUGGGGAGAUCACUGCUGACCAGCGCGCAGGGGCCUCGGUAGCACCCGCAGCUCUGUCGUCGGCCUGCUGCAAGAUCUUGGGCCAGUCUCUCCCCCGCUGUGAGCCGGUUUCCCCACCUGCCGCACCAUCUCUGACCUCCACCUGUAACGUCGGGUGGGUCUCUGGGAGGUUCGGAGGGGCCAGGUAUGGGGUAGCUGCUUUGGGCGUGUGAGAGUGUUCCUGGGCUUUGAGUUGGGAUCCUCUGCCUUGUGAGGAGGUCACAUGGUGGCAGGUUCUGUGGCCGUUCAGAAGGGCACCCCAGGGUGGAAGUGCUUCCAGAAGAGCAGAGGCCCCUCCAGGAGGGAGCUUUACUAUGUGUUGAGUUUCCACAGAAUGCAAAAAAAGAUUUGUUGCCUCUUUCUCCUUUUUUCAGUUUUCCGGAAUCAUGUUAAUGAGCGUCUAUUCCUUUUGCAACAGAAAAACAAAAUUUGAAUUACAAAACUAACCACCUGGCCAGAGUGAAACUGACCCGCCCAGAUUCUCACUGCAUGUCUUCCCCAAAGGAGAGAUGUUAACUCGGGGCACAGGCGGUCACAGUGAGGGCAGCACCGUCGUCCUGGUGCAUUUUGGCCAUUUAAAAGGAGUAGAGGCCACUUAGGGGGAGGCGGUGCUCUGAUGUGGGGUGCCCCCCCCCCGCCCCACCAAGAGGCGGGAGGCAGAGCCUGUCCUUACGUCUGGACAUCUGGAUGCACGUUAGGGAUGUUCCGAGUCUGAUGCCUGGAAACGAAUCUGUAGGGAAAGCGGACCUCUGUUUUGUCGUCACGCUAGAGCCAGGCCGUUAUUUUGCCGUUCCAGACACCGCCCUCGUCCAUGACAGACCCCAUGUAGCGGAUGUACGUCUGGCAAUGGCUGGCUUUUCCGGAACCGACUUGGCAAUCACCCUGGUGUUGGCGGUUGCCUUUUGUGAGGACCUACUGUGUGUGCCGGCCAAGCUCUUGGGAAUUCCGUGUUCAUUCAUUUGCUCUGAUGUCAGCUUGAGGCGGUAGGUGUAAACGGCCCCUUUUUAAGAUACAAAACUGAGGCUCAGAGAGGCCAGUUUCCUGAAGACCACACAGCCCGGAAGGUUCUCUGUGGCCUGUUCAUGGGCUCCUCCCCAGGGCUAGCAGGUCUGCCACUAGAGGCUCUGUCGACUUGAGCUCACCUGCACCCUGGCCGCACUGCCUGCCCUGGUAGCCGUCGGCUCCCCAAGUCCUUACUGGAGCUGUUUUGGCCCAAGUGAAGUGGCAGAGCUGGGGACCUACACCUGGUGUGUGCAUCUGGCAACUCAGGGAGGCUGGAGGACGUGGACCAGAGGCUCGCUGGCCGACUUCUGACUCCUCCUGACCCAUCUCGGGCCCCUCCGGGGGCUUGGGGGCCCGGCGCAGCAUCGCCCAGGGCCAGGUCCCAGCGCUUCCCACGGCAUCUCUGCACAUACAUUGAGGGGUGGUUUCUGCACGAUUUGUUAGCAGCUGGCAUUUGCAGGGAGAGUGUUUCUCCUACGUGUGACCUCUGAGAGAGGCCAAGUUGAAUGCUGAAGACCAGUGUGGACAAGGCAGGACUGAGCCCUCUGGGGGUGCGGGUGGGCUGUGUGCCGUGGGCCUGGGCCCUGAAGCUCGGCUGAUACCAGGGUUCCUGCUGGCGGCUCAGAGCCUCCUGCCCGAGGCCCGCGCUCAGGUGUGUCCACGCAGGCCUCAGCCCUGGCAAGUUGGCCAGCUGUCAGACAAGAGGCUGGGAGAAAUGUCUCCAGGCACCAGAGUGCAAUGACUUGUCUUACGUCCUCGAAGUGCCCUGGGGGGUGGUUGGCAGUGGACGCGACCAUCCGCUGAGCCCCACUGUGCGUGGGCACAGCACGUGCGUCGCCUCUCAUGACGCGUGUGAAUCUGAGGGGUGGCCUCACUGUCCCUUUAUUACAGAUGAGGAGACUGAGACUCAGAGACGUGAAAGGGCUUGUCCAGGGUCACGGGACAGAGCUGAGAUGGGAACCCAGCGGUCUUCAGCCACGCUGUAGAUGGACGCAGGAAUGUUCCGCAGGGCAGGGGCAAGGAGGGGCCGGGGUGAGGUGGGGGUCAGCCUCCGGGGCAUCCUGCUGGGCCCGGUGCUGCUGCCAACAGACUCUGCCAACCUCCCUGGGCCAGAAGCUUCCAGAGGACAGAACCGCCUCUGGUCAAAGAGCCACCAGAUGGCCUGGGCCAGCGCUGCCAUCCAGGUGGCCACAUCAUGGGGCACGGGCUGUGAGCAGUGCCGGCACCCGGGUGAUUCUGGGGCUGGGAGAAGGGAGCAUUGUUAUGAGCCAGCCUUGGGUCUGGGACUUUUACUCUUGUCACCUGUAAUGUCACAGCCCUACGAGGUGGACAGGCUGUCCCACAUCACAGGGUAGGAAACUGGGCCAGAGAGGGCAAUCCUGUGCCUGGAGCCACACAGCAAACAGAGGCAGCAGGUGUGGCUGACUCCCCCUCGCUCCCACUCCCCCACAACCUGCCUCAUAGAUUCUGGAAUAUGGGAGGCUGCCGUUCGGGGUUCACUAGUGACCCUGAGACAGGCUGAGGCCCCUGGCCACCCAGCACACGAUGUGGGCCGGCCCAUCGAGAGAGGGCAGGCUUAGGAGGCUCAAGCCGCCCCUCGGGGGCGCGAUGCACUCCCAGGAGAGCUUCAGAGGCUCCGAGGGCAGGUGACGCGCCAUGUCCGACCGGAGCACGCAGGCAUGGGGAGCAGGCCGAGGGCGCUGGUGUUGCCAGGUGCCUCUUUGUGCCAGGUGCCGGACCAGGGAGCCCAGAGGGCACUCAGCCUGGUGGUUCCGUGGUUGCUGUUGGGCACGUGGGUGAAAGGAUCCGGGGGCACUGAGUGUCCCGGAGAGAGGGCAUCCUGUAAACGCUGCCGUGGGGUCAGACGUGGGGGAUGCUCCCUGGCCCCAGCACGGUCCCGUGGCCGGCUGUCCCAGUGAGUUUUCUAGCCAUGGCCACGUGUGGCUCCUGUGACUUUCAGGUAUCCAGCCAGGGCCCCAGAGCCGCCCCUGCCCCUGCAGCAGGAGCUCCACUCACCCAUCAGGAUAGAAACCCUGUCCCCGCCGGGUGUGUGCAGCGGGCGUGGGGCAGCCUGCGGAGCAGCCGGCAUCCACCUCCCCUUGCUCUCCUCUGCUGAGCGUGGCCUUCUGCUGUUUCCCGUCCCGCAGCUCCUGUGCCCUGGAAGCCUGAUUUCUGACGCCAGCGUCAGCUAGAGGAAUAUCGACCUAGGCUAUCUGCAAAAGGGGGGCCUCAGCGGCUGGGCCUGUGGGGUUCAGCGUGCCGCCCACAGUAGUGUCCCUCUUGAGCGCCAGCUGGGCUGUGCUCGCCGUCCAGAGGGAAGAGAGGGGGUGGGAGUGCCGUCGGCUCCCCCGUGCUGUUGGAGGGUCCCUGGUCUGUGGUCUCUCCUGGGUGGGCCCCAGAGCUGUUGCCCCAUCGCCCAGGUGAGGUCACUGGAGCUACCCCAGCCCAGGUGCCGCCCCGGAGGGGCCGUCAGAGGGAUCCUCACCGGGCAGCGGGGAUUUGUUCAGCCCAUUGCACUGUCGGGAGAGACAGGGAGGGAGUCCAGCCGUCCAGGCAGGGCUGCGCGGCCUCAAGGCCAUCCUUUCUUAAUGGGGUGGCGGGGGGGGGGUAGGUGCUCCCCACAACGUAACAAGAUGGUGACGUGCUCACCAGAAGCCCGUGCAGGCUCCGUGCGGUGGUGGCAGCCAGGCCUGGGCUGACCUCCUGGCCCCUAGCUUCUCUCGGAACCUGCACAACGCUCUGGGCCGCAGACCUGGUGGUCCCCGUACUAUAGUCGGGGAACCUGAGGCCGCGAGAGGCGCUGGGCAGCGUGUAUGGGGGAGGCACCCAGAGCUGCGUGACUCGUGGUCCUGAGGCCAUGCCACGUGUAGACAGGGUGCAGUGGGCUUCCAGGUUCCCGUCUCCGUUUCCAGAAGGUGGGGUCUUGCUGCCAGCUCGACCCAGCGUCUGGGGCGGGGGGCUCGAGCACAUCCUUGGGAAGCCGCCAGCAGGUCCCCUCUAGCCUCUGAGCACCUGACGAGUCCCACGCGUGUCCCAGAGGCCCUGCUGCCGAGGAGGGCGCUGAGCCGCCUGGCGGUACCUGAAGAGACUCAGCCCGACGGCUCCCUGCCCGGCGCCCGCGCAGCUCUCACCCGUCCGCAGGGAGCUCAGCCCUGGUCCCCAGGUGACAGGGGCGCGCUCCUGAGAGGACCGGCGUCUGUGGGAGCCGCACACCUGCGCCUGGGCGCAGGCAGGAGAGCUUGGGGUCACCAGCACGCUCCCGGGGCCUUGGCGCCCGGACCCACCUUCCUCCCGGCCACCCCGUCACACGGGGCCUGGGGCAGAGGCCUGAGAAAGGAGCGGGGCCUGGGUAGCUGCCCUGACUUUCCUGUGAGUCCAGCCGAGGCCCAGCAGAAUUCCUGGUCAUGGAGGCUCAGACCUCCGUCUGGAUUUGCUGUUUUGUUGUCACCGAUGACGAGCCAUCCCUGCUUUGGGAGAGCCUGUGCGCCUUCGGUGGCCGGAGCCCGGGGCAGGGCUUCUGGGCCUGUGCUUAGCCUUCGGGGCCUUGUGCACGGUUGCUCGGUCCUAGGGUAAGCCCUCACUGGCUCAUUCGGGAAAGACCCAGAGUCACGUCUGCACUUUCUGUUCCUAGGUAUUGGGCAUUGUUCGACGAGCGAAUGGGGACGUUUCCAUGCCUCCUGGGUGCCGGGCACCGUGCUAGCCCUGAGGGUCACACCGCUGCCUAAGAGGUGGCCCCUGCCGCGGAGCUACCUGCCUGUGGGGAGACGGAGCGCGAGCGUCCAUGAGCUGAUUUCAAGGGACCCCCAGCCUACCGCUAGAGCUGACCUAUGGCUCCUGGUCCAGGAGGCCCCCCUGGGGGGGUGACCUAAAGGAUGGAACAUGGCUGGUCCCAGAGCACCCCCGAGAAAGUGCACACCUGUCGUGGCCUUCAAAAGACGCUCCAGGACCACACGGCCAGGUGGAUGGUGUUUGCCCUGCGUCUGGGUGGUGAGGCAGCCCAGGAGGUGAGCAGCCUGGCCAGGAGGGGAACAUGGACCCGGUCUUGGGAGACCCCAGCACCAGCCCCUUCCUCGCAGGCCCCAACCUGCAGCCGGCCGGGCCCACCCUGCCCAGAGUUCCCUAGGGCCGGGCUCGGCCUGGCCCCCGGCAGGUGGAAGAGAUCCCACUCCGCCACCAGAAGCGAGGGAGUAGAGCAAAGGAUUCCCUGUCCACUCUGGUCCCGCCAAGCCCCGCACCUGCCCUGUGGCCCGAUUACGGCGCUGGCCGGCUGGCCUCCUGGAUGCAGAUGGAAUCAGGGAGGCCCCACCCAGUUCAUUGGCACAGAGACUCCCCUGAACCAGCUCUGUGCUGUCAGCGCCCACGGCCCCCAGCCCACCUCUGACAAGCUGUCCAGCUGGGUGGGCUUCUUUGGUGCCCUGAGCCUCGGUUUACCCGUCUGUAAGACUUAGGCAGGAAUACCUCCUAGCAGAGUUUGGGGGUGCACAGCCUAGAACACCCGUGGCUUCGGUGAGGGCCUGGGGGUGGGACACAGCCUUUGCCCCUGAGAAGCAGCAGGGGUUUAUAACCCACCGAAAGACAGAAAACUCCCCAACGUGGCGCUCUCCUGGCCUCCUCUUCCUUCGCCGGAGCUCAGCAGGGCCCGGCCUCAUCUAUUCCUUACUUUGGGUUUAUUGUGCUGGGUGCUGAGUGAGAGGAAGGGGUGGGUCGAGGCAAAGCCAGCUCCUGCCCCAUGCAGCAUGGGGACUUGCGGCAGCCUCUGCUCCAAGUGGCCAGGGGGCUUUGUUAGCAGCAUCUCUGAGGCAGCCAGGAGGGUUUCAGUGGCCCAGGAACCCAGGCCUGCUGUGGCCACGUGGCUUCGGGUCAAUUUCACAGGCUUGGGGAGGGCGUGGAGGUGGCCCUGUUAGCAAGGACGCUGACAGAGGUGGCUGAGUAGGGAGAGGCGACCGCUCUGAGGCCUCAGGAUCUUAGCAGCUCUACGGGUGGUCGUGGGUCUGUUUGCACAUCACCAGGACAGGGUGCCCACCUGCCGGGGGGUAUUCCAGACCCCCGAGGUUCUCUGUCAGUGUUACGAAGCGUCUCCUGGGACAGCAUCUGAGGGCUCAUGGGAAUGACCACACUGUAGCAGAAGACUGAGCCACAGCCUAGGGUCAGACUGCCGGGCCCCAGCCUCACCCCACCUUCCCUGCCGUGUGAUCGUAGGGAAGCCAUGGCCCCUGCCUGGGGUUCUGUUUUCUCAUUUGCAAAAAGGGUGUCCCUACUUCUCCCUGCCUCCUUACCAGACACCAAAAGCAGAAGGGGAUGCCAAACCUGGCUGAGAAGCGGGGGUCUGGCUCGGGGCCAGUACAGCCCACCACUUGCAGAGAUGAAGCCUGCUACGCACACGGCCCUCACCAGUCGUAUAGGCAGGGAGGGGACUAAGGCGUUAUUUGUUUUCUUUUUUGUUUAUGUCAUGCCACAUUAGAAAUAUAUAUGUGAAGCGGCUUAGAGCAACGUUGACAAUGCAGAAGGGUAAAAAUAAACAGCCGAGGAAAUUGGGGCAAAGGGAAAACCGCAGGUAGGCCUAGAGAAUCCGUGUCAUGUAGGCACCUCCCAGUUCUGUCAGUUCAGCUCUGAGCUUCCUAGCAGCCAAAGCAAAGAGGGAAAGACUGUCCCUUGCAGGAAGUGCUGUUUAGGGAGUCCUGUCUCAGCACAGUGAUGCUGAGAGAGAGCUGCCUGGUGCAGACACUCAGGGUUACCCCAGAGGCCCCAGUGAGGCCGGGCAGAAAGAGAGGGAGGGAACUCCCUCAUGCUCAGCACAGCUGCACCCCUCCAUCAGCCUGAGCAUCUCACACCUUGUUUCGUUUAGUUCUCCCAAACCCUAGAAACCUAGGUUGAGAGAGCGGCAGUGAGGACCCCCAGCCCUCUCUGAGCCUGACUUUGACCUUGUGUCUCUCCAUCCCCCAGAUCUACAUUCUUGCAGCCACACCUGCUGCCCCUUGGAGAAGGUGACCCCAGAAAACCAGGGUGUUUCAGCCCCAGUGUUUUGGGCACAAAGUCACAUUGAUGCAAUGGUCUCCUGGCCGGUAACGUCCCCCUGCGAGGCUCUGAGUGACCCCUGAGCUGUGCUGGGCCUCGUGGAGUCUUAGGGCAGGGUGGGCCAGAGCCAGCAGGGUACAGAUGCAGGGCGUGCACCCCGCACAUACCCGGGGGCUGCUUCCCAAGACUUACCCAGCACCUCUCUCUGCUCCCAGGUCUCACCCCUUCUUCCCGGCACCCUGGUCCCUGGCUGACAUCUGGAGCUUGGACGACCGUGCCACCCUCAGGUCAGCGCAGCGUUUCGGAUGUUGAAAACCAGAGCUCCCCACCCCCUCCCUCCAGACGCCACCCUGGGCUGGGCAUGCCUGAAAGGACACACGCACGUGUGUCUCACACGCAUGUGCGCACACGCCCACACGGCCUCUGGAGGAUCGCUGGGUGGGUACUUCUCGCACAUUUGCUCAGGCUCAGCUGCGGGCGCUCCCCCCGCGGCUCUGCCCUCCCACCAGCCUCUUUCUGCGGUCAAAGGACCAGGGUCAGUAAGGAGUCAGGGGCUCGCCCAGGUCUCACCCCAGGAAGCUGGACCCGUGACGUCUUCCCGGCUCCCCCUGCACAUAAGUUGAACGGAGCCCCCUUUGCAAGGAGGCAGCCAUCACAGGGCUCCGUGGUGGGAGGGCUUGGGCCAAGCGCUGGGGACCAGUGACUACCGGGCAGAGCUCAGGAGCUCGGCAGGUGAGGAGGUCCCAGCCUGCCCCUCCGCCUCGUGCCCUGAUGGGGCUGCGGUGCUCAGAGUCUGCUGGGCCCCCCGCCCCCAAGCGCCAGCCUGCCGUGCAGACUGUCAGGCCCACUUGGCUGCUUGCAGCCUCCUGGGGAGUCUGUGGGGCCGUGAGGGUCGGGGCCAGACUGGCGGCGUCUCCCUCCCCCCUGUUGCCAUGGCCAGGGGCAGACCUGCCUCCCAGGGCUGUGUGGAGAGGACCCGGGACCCCUCUGCCAUCUGGGUCUCAUGUGUUUACAGGUCCAGCUUGCCCGCCAGACUCGGCAGACACCGCCCCAGGGCUUUUGUGUCUGCACGCAGGGCAUGCGCCAGCCGGUGCCCGAGGGUGGGGUGGGACGCGGGUAGGGAGGGGGGAGGUCCCCCCGGGGACAUCAGGGACAGAGGGGAAAGGGGGACAUGAAGGGGUAUAGCAUGGGAAAGGAAGAACAGAGCAGAGGCAGAGAGCAGGGCUGGGCACAGGGAGAAAGGAGACCCAGCAGAGACUGACCGCGCGGCUGUGUCUGGGAAGACAGGGCCUUCCGGGCUUUGCUCAAGGCCGUCUAGCGCAGGUGCUUUUCUCGGCACCCGCCGGGAGAUCCCCUCAACGUCCCACGGGCAGCGGCAGCCUCCUGGGUCCAGAUGAAACGUAGGCACUGAGAGGUGCAUCCCUCACACAGGCUCGGGCACCCGAGUGUGAACCGGGGACCGAGCCCCAGGCCCUGACGGACACACGCAGGAGGGCACGUCCCCAGGAGUGGGGAGGGGCUCCCGGGCCAGGGCGCUGGUGGCUGUGUGAAGUGGCCGAGGUCCAGGACAUACCGUGCGACGGAUGGGAGAUGGGGCCGGUGCGCACAGUUGGGGCUCACUCAGUGCUCGUCCAGCGCCUGAGGAACCACCAGGACGACCACACAGCCCGGUCACCACGAGGACGAGCGCGUGCCCAGGGCUGGCGGGGAGGGCUGCCCCCUCCAUGUGUGCACACCCUCCUCGUUCCGCCUGGGACCAUCCUGUGCACCCAGAAAUGGGAGCUCGGGGGCUGGGAGCAGCCCAGCUCCGGCCUCAUCUGGGGUUCUGGAGGUUCUUUGGGGGCCAGGCGAGCCCUUUGGGCUGCUGGCUUGGGCUGGGGGAGCAGUGAAGGGUUAGGGGGACAGUGACUCACUUGGCGGGGGUUGUUUUUGCACCGACUCGUAAUUGUUCUCCUGUGAGUCUGCCCGGACUCGGCCCAGCACGGGAGAGGUCUGGGCCUGGGCGGCGCCCCAGCCUCUUUCCCUGCCCCGGUGCCCUGGUGCCUCACCCACUUUGGGCAGCAGACGGGAGCCACGUGUGCCCAGUCAGCAACCCGUGCUGGCCAGUUUUCUGAAGGGAAUUGUCCCUGUCCUCCCUGACGCCCUGGGUUCCUGGGAUAGAGGCUACCCCGUUCGUUCUUUAGGAGUUGGCGCGAAUGUGGGUUCACGGGAAAUCAAGGCUUGGGCGGUGGGCCCCCAUCGCCCCAUGGCAGAGCCACGUUCAGAAGCUGUAUCUGCUGGGCCUAAUACGGCCCCGUGUGUAGGGCCAGAGCCUGGAGAAGGGGCCCCACAGCGAUGCCAAGACGUGACCCCCAUCUGCUCUGCAGAUGCACACGUGGUACCUAAUCUUUUCACCCGUGGACAAAGGGGGCCUCCAAGCCUAAGGGGCAGGAGUUUGUUCUAACAUCAAACAUCCAAGUGUCCUUUAUUUAACCAGACAGAAAAAUUAAGGCCCUAAAUACCUGGCACUUGGUCUUUUUUGUUCCCGGUGAAGACACUGACAAAACGCAGAAGGCCGGCUUCCGCUCAGGUCUUAGCUGUUGGCGCUGAGCAGUGCUCUCUGGCUGGGUGCAGUGGACCCCGGACGGGAGGAGGACAGGGGCAGGGAUGCCCACCCUGAAAGCCACACCUGGACCAGGUGACUUGGAUUUGUUGGCUCUUGUGAAGCACUUUCUGUCCUGUGGGCCGGGCCCCGAGCCCACGCUCUUCCCGCACAGGUCAGUCUUCACGACAGCCCUGCCAACGGGCAUCUUUCAGUGCCACUUUCCUAUGGGGGCUGAGGCUCAGGGAGGUCAAGGGCCAGCCCCGGGCCACUGAGCCAGGAGCGAGCUCCCCAGCAGGGGAGGUGGAAACACCUCCGGGCUCUGGGAAUGCGUGGCGUCCCCGAGGUGUCGGGGCUGCCACACAUCCUGAGAGGCCGUUUUCCUGGGGGGCAGGCUGAGCGGGGGCUGGGGGAGGGCUGGGAUGGCCCCUGGCGUGGACUAGAGGGUUUAUAAGGGGUCUCCCUGCUGGAGUGAAGCCAAGAGGCCCUCAGACCCAGCGACGCCGGGGCUGCUGCCCGUGCAGCCCGGGUUUCCUGCCCCGGCCUGAGCUCAGCUGGGUACUUGCCUUCAGACGUUUCCCCUGUCAGAGGCCUUGUUCCCCCGAAGCUCAGCUGUGUCCAGCCCUGGCUGGGGAAAGAGCAGGCUCCCACUCUGUCCCCCGGGCCCGGCUCUGAGCUGCCCUUCUCCAAGAACACGGUGGCCGCUCAGCCUGGCUGGCCUGGGAGAACUGGGGAGCCAGAAGGCCCUUGGCCGUUCACCCUGAGGAAGGGAAAUUGAGUGUCUCAGGUGGGGGCUCCCUGGGGUUACCCAGGACAGGGGGCUCUGCUCUCUCCUGGUAGCUCCGUGACCUCAGGCAGGUAGGUGGAGACGUCUCUGGGUCUUCGUUCCCUCAUUCCUGUAACGCCAGGCAGGCGGACGAUGGCUGUGCUGGCGGUGUGACUGUGGGGAAAUAACUUAGCCUCUCUGUGUUCAUCCCCUCACCCCCAGAUCAGGUUGUAACGAGGACUGACGGAGCUACCCAGUGCGAUGGGCUUGGGUCAGUGCGUGGAGCGUUCCGGGGGACAGGGUGUUUGCCCUUCCCCGGUUUCCGACGGGGAGUGUGUGCCCCAGGAAGUGCUACUAUGUGUAUUUGCAGCAGUAUCGGGCCAACAGGGAUUCGAACCCCGAGCCCUGUGGCUGGGAUGCUCGCUCUUCCCCACUGAGCUCCCCACCCCCGUGGGGCAGCCCGCAAGGAGCAGCCACUCCUGGGAGAGGUCUUCGGUGAGGACGGUUGUUUGGUUCAUGCCUGGGGAGUUUUCAGUACAGCUGUGGUCACACAAGCGAGGGGGACAGUGGCUCCAGCGCUCCGUGCCACGCUGAGUCACCAAGGCUCCCCCACCCUAAUUCCACUGUCUUGUUCCUUGACCCAGGCCCCGCACCGGCUCCUGACCUGCCCGUCUCCGUCAGAGCGCAAGGCCCAGCUGUGCCCCGCGGUCAAGAAGUGGCACUGAGAUGGGAGCUUCUAUCCGAGGCCAGCCUUACUCAAUGGUGAGCCGAACGUUAGGGCGGGGCCGUCCCCGCUCGCGGGGGCACCUCACGGCUGUCCCACUCUUCCCAGCCCAGCCAGAGCCCACAGGAGGCCUCGCCCUGGGCCCUCGUGCAGGAGACAGGCCCACCCCUGGCCUCGGUGUGGGUGCACGGCCACUCCUGCUGAAUGCCCAGAGGACUGUCACAGGACACAGGACAGCACAGGUGACAUCUGCGCUGCACACCCUUCCCACCAUCCUUUCUCUGGGAAGUAGGGAGUCAUGGGGGAGCUUGUAGUGGGGAGGGAUGUGGUCAGAGCUGUGUCCCACGAUGCACUUGUGACCUCAGGCUGGACGUGGCCUGAAGGAGCCGUAGUCUGCUGCAGGGUGUCUGCAUGGAAGAGGAACGCGGACCCCGCCUCCCUGUGCACUGCGAGGGCCCGUCGCCCCCUUUUCUCCAGCCCUCCGCUGUGAUCCUAAUACACAGGCUGCUGAUAUCGACCUGAGACGCACACGGGUGAGUCUGGCCUGGAACAGAAAGGCUGAAUGAGGGGAACCAGUCACAUCUGCUUCUCCCAGGCUGGGCUGGGGGUCGGGGUGCUUGUGUUGACAGCCAGGGAGGACCGGGUGUGUGUGUGUGUGUGUGUGUGUGUGUGUGUGUGUGUGUGUGUGUGCCAGUCAGUCUCCCCCCUCUCUUUCCCUGCCUCUCCCUACCCCGUGGAGCCCAGCCCGGGGCUGGGCUGGGUCCCUCGUGGAGUCAGCACUGCGGGCUCUGGAGCUGAAGCCCCGGCCCAGGGGAGGGCAGGCGCGUCUGAGUAGUGGCACACGCGUGGGUUCCAGCCCAGUGUUAACUACUGGCGGCCUGGCAGCCACUCGGAUCCCCUGGGAGCAGUUGCUGCAGGGACCCCGCCUCUCAGUGACGAGGUCCAGGCCCACGAGGGCAGAAGAGACGUCGGAGAAGCACGGCGGGGAGGCCGGCCCGGCUUCGCAGCCAGCUCCACUUGCUGGGCUGUCCUGCCCCGUGCCGCCCUCAGCCUGCUAGGGCCAGCGGUCGGAGCCAGGUGGCCCCUGCAGCCUGAGGCCGUUGGGGGUCUCGGGGGCUAAGUUGGGAGCCAGAGCCCGCGCUCAGGGGCCUCCUCAGGGUCACUCCGAGACAUUCGGCAGCACCCUGGGCUGGGCGCCGUGUCCUCGGCCUCCCCAGCGAUGAGGCUCACGGCAGCCGCUCACCCCACGGGGCGGCUGCACCAGGCUGCCCAUCCACAAACACAGCCAGAAGCUGCCUGCCUGGACCACACAUCGUUGCCAGGAUGGGAGUGCGUCUAAGGAAGGCCCUUGGUCACCCUCUCCUCGCCCCCCGUCCUAGAGGCUGGCUGGCUCUGCCUGGAGAGUCCUUAGGGACACCCUGGUCCUGUCCACCAGCCAAGGAGUCCAAGUGGAGGCCGGGAGACGGGACCUCGAGGCCCUCUCAUGAAGAUUUCCUUCUGGGGCCUCAAGGAAAGACAGGGUUGCCAGUGAGCACAGGCCAGCCAGGUCUUGGGGGGCAGGCUGCGUUGGGGUGUUGCUGGCCCAACUCCCAGGUGACUGCACCUCAGUGUCCCGCGCUAGGUGUGGGCCCUGGUGCCCUCACCACUAGUGGAGGGUUCUGGGACCAUUUCGUGCCCCUCGGGGUUCAGGGAGCAGCAGCUGCCCUGUUUACUGGGACUGGGCACGAGGCCCCCUCUGCAGUAGUGGGCGAGGCCACGCCGGGGAGAGCCCGAGGGCAAGCCCUGCCCCCUGCCUGGGACCCAUCCGAGCCUCAGCUUCCUCGCUACGAAAUGGCAUCGGUGAUCCUGGCUUCACCAGGCCUGUGAAGACCAAAUGGCACAGACCAGCCUUUCCUGGGAGCCAGGUUCCCUUUUGGAAAGUAAGAAUAUUCUGUAGCCUCUCCUGAGAUGGGAAAAGCCCAGGUCACCCUGGAUGGUGGGACCAGACCAACCAGAGCCCACGGGGAGGGAGUCCACACCUGUCCAGUGGGUGGAGGUGUGUCCUGGGGCAGCAGGGAGCCAGGGGUGGGCGGUGCCGUCAGAGGUGGGGGCCAGGUGGGCAUGCGUAGCCCCUUUUGGACAUGGGUUGGCCUCUAACAGAUGACAGCCUGCCUCCCAGUGUCACUGGUGCAGGAGAAGUCCCUUGGGGACACCAUGGUCACUCCUAUCCACUCCUAUCCAGAUGGGAGUGAUCCCAUCACCUGUAGCGCUUUUCCAAAAGCCACAUCGCACGUUUCCCUCCCUCCCUCUCUUCCCUCUUUCCUUCUCCCUCCCUGGUUGGUGGUUGUCUCCUGUGGGGCUGCUCCCAGGGUAUGCGGGCCCUCUACUGACCCGCCUGCCAGUCCCCGUGCCCUCAGCGCCCCAGCACAACCCUGACCCCCAUCCCCCUUAUGCUCCCCUCCUUCCCCCUCCAGGAGAUGCCUCUGGGAGCCACGAUGUCCCUCCAGGUGCCGAGACUGACGGCCCUUUGGGGUGAGGUAGUAGGUUGUAUAGUUUGGGGCUCUGCCCUGCUAUGGGAUAACUAUACAAUCUACUGUCUUUCCUGAAGUGGCUGUAAUAUCGACAGUGGACAGCAUCCAGGACCCUGGCUGCUGGAUGGGGGUGCGGUGGGCAGGGUGGGGGGUGGGGACGCAGCCUCAGCAGGGUGGGUGCAGUGGCUGCCGGGUGGUAAGUCUGACAGGCCUAGGUUCCACUUGCUGUGUGACCUGGGGCGGGUCCCUUGACCUCUCUGGGCUUCAGUUUCCUUAUCUGUGAAAGGGGGCAGAUGAGGGUUGAGCGCAGUACCGUGUGAAGUGUCCAAGGAGGGCAGGGCUCAGAGUCGACCUUUCCCUCUCCCCACGCUGCGCUGAGAGCUGAUGGACCCGACGAGCAGUUUGGGCAGCCCACCCCUCCCCCGUCCACAUCCCCGUGCCCCACAUCAGGCUCUUGGGCAGCCCCCAGCCUGGACUUUGCCCUCAGAUGCAUCCCUGUGGCCGGCACUGGGCACCGGGAUGAGUAGCCUUGGGCCCGAGGAGGACCAGGCCAGCUGAGGCUUGGCUGGCGUUGCAGCACAGCACCCCAGGGCAGUCCACGGGGUCGGCCUCGAUCAGCACGUCCCCCGAGUCCACAGCCUGCCCAGCUCAGCGUCAGGCCUCUGGUCAGCGGAGGGACAGAGGCCAGGGCUCCCCUCUCCCAGGCAGGGAGUGAGAGGAAUGUCCUCGAGCCCACGGCAGCCCUCGUGGGCACGAGCCCGUUCCACCCCCAGCAAGCGCAGGUGGACUGGCCAGCGUGGGGACCAAGCCGCCGUCUGCACGUCCCUCCUCCCCUGCGCCUGCCCAGCCCUCCAGCUCGGCUCUGGUGGCUGCAGACCACCAGGAGGGGCUGGGGCUGGGCCGGGGGCAGCGGCAGGACGGCGGACCCUCCCAAACCCGGGCACCGGCGGGGUGAGGUAGUAGGUUGUGUGGUUUCAGGGCAGUGAUGUUGCCCCCUCGGAAGAUAACUAUACAACCUACUGCCUUCCCUGAGGGGCCCAGCGUCGUCCCACGGGAGGGCCGCCCCCGCGCUCUGCAGGGGACUCGGCAGAUGACUUGGGGGCCUGAGCCCAGGCCAGGCGGGUGGGAGGCCGCCCUGUGCACACUCAGAUCUCAAUAAAAGUUGCUGUCAUGGGAAUCUGGAGUCUGCCCCUGUUUGUUCUGGGAGCCCAGGGGCGGGGCGUCUGCCGCCUGCCGUGGGCGGUGUGGGCGUGGCCUGAUGGGGGAGCUGCCUCUGGGCCACUGGGGGUCACCGGACCCUAGUCUGCCGCCCCCACAGCCUUCGGGUCUUCCUGAUGGAUUCAGUCCUGGACCCCGGACCCCUGCGCAGCCUGCACCCCACUCACAGCCGCUUUGAGCACAGCUGUGGGACCCAGGCCCCAGAGGCGUCACUCGGCCCGCACAGGCCCCCUUGCAGGUGGCGCGGACCCAGUCAGCAGCUCAGAACACAGUCCAGGGCCCGGUCCCCGAGGCCACCCCAGAGCCAGUGCUUGACUGGGGCCCGGAAGUUCCCGUCUGCCACGCCCAGCCCCCUUAGGCCAGUGUCCGGGGUAGCCCUUAUGUCGGGUGUCCAUUCUGGGCUGACUGCCAUCCCAAGUGUUCACUCACGUUUCUGUCGGGGGUCUUAGGCUCUCGUGCCGCUGGCUGCUGAAGCCUGUCCCCACAGUCACAGCCUGGGUGUCAGAAGAGACCCGUCCGUGUCUGACCCAGCGCCCAGAGCACCCUCCGGGGGAGGUGCUCCCACGGCUGCGUCCGAUCCCCGUCCCUGUGCCCACAGAGCGCAAUGAGGUGCCAUCUGCCCCAGCUGGAGCAGCCCCCCGUCACCCCACAAGCCGCUGCAGAAGAGAACUCCAGGCUGGCUCUUGCCAACGACCCGGGGUACACAGAACGGGACACCACUGCAGCCUCCAAGUGCCCAGCGCCUGAGGGGACAGACAGGGCUCGGACAGGUCCAGGUCCCAGGCAGUGGUCUGGGACGGGGACCUGUGACAGAGGCCAGAGGAGGCUCCUGAUCCAGCCAGGGUCCCGGAGGGAGGAGAGGUGGGCUGAGCUGGGCACCUCUCAGCCCUGAGUGCAGCAGCCUGAAGCUUUGGAGGGACCAUCCUCCCCUCCCACCAUGAUGACUGUCCCCAAGCCACUAUCUCUGCCCAAGCCCCCACCCAUCCCAAGC
Non-coding RNA from Delphinapterus leucas (beluga whale), 22057 nucleotides. The record is from RefSeq and is a predicted model, not a curated record. Lineage: Eukaryota; Metazoa; Chordata; Mammalia; Artiodactyla; Monodontidae.